This is a long non-coding RNA of Actinia tenebrosa (Australian red waratah sea anemone), 836 nucleotides long. RefSeq lists it as uncharacterized. NCBI's taxonomy places the organism in Eukaryota, Metazoa, Cnidaria, Anthozoa, Actiniaria, Actiniidae. The record is from RefSeq and is a predicted model, not a curated record.
GCCUUGUUGGAAGUGUUUUUUCUCCUACGCUUGAAGACAAUAUUUGACAAAACUGCUGUUUAUUCUGUUAUUUUCGUUAUUAUAUAAUGUAUAUAUUUACAGUAAGAUAAAAAACUAGAUUGGCAAGUUGUUCCAGAGAAUGUUUACAUCAUAAACAAAGAGGUUCUUGUCACUUUUUAACCAACGUGUGAGGCCAGAUUACUUUAGAAAUGAGGAUUAUAUUUGGAAUGGAACCUACUAAUGAAUAUGCAGCUUUGGUGGUUUAUGGUGUAAUAGUCUUAGUGGCAUUACAUGUUGCAGCACUCGGAUACUGGUUAUUUACAAUUAUUCGGCCACCAAAUGAGGCAAAUCUUCAAAGAACGAAUCCAAAAACUGAGAAGUUCCAUUAACAAGCAUUUGAUAUUUCCCAAGAAUUUCGCAAAAUUUAGCAAACUUAUUGUGUUAUUGUUGAAAAAUUAUAUUCCAAAGUACUAAUCUUAUGAUAUUUUGAGAAAAAAACACAGCAGUUUUUAAGAAGUGGACAAACCUUUUGGAGGAAAUUGCAAACUACGUAAAGACAGACAGACAUACUUGGAAUACAUAGGAAGAGAUAUUGGUCAAAAUUUAUAUAUUCCAUCAGAUAUUACAUAAUGGUUAUAGAUUUUAGGCUAUGAUUUUAAUCAUUAAGUUUGGUUAUCAGCUUGUUUUGAAAAAGACAUCAAUUAUUUAUAGAAUAUUUAAUCAUAUGUAAAUCGCAAAGUAUAUGGAAUUACAAGUAGUUUUCAUAUCUAUGUUAAUAAGCCUUUUCAUAGUUUAAGAAUCGAUUCCACUGCGCAUGCGAUUUUAUCCCGAAUUUC